Non-coding RNA from Heterocephalus glaber (naked mole-rat), 390 nucleotides. Lineage: Eukaryota; Metazoa; Chordata; Mammalia; Rodentia; Bathyergidae. The record is from the annotation of a RefSeq genome assembly.
AUGAGCGGGAUAAACAGUGGACACUGUGACAGUUUCUUGAGCAGGAUGUCUCGGUAUGCAGGUGUCCAGUGUGAGGAGAAGCUGGUGUCGUGUGAGGGAGGCUUGGUGCCACGUGGGAUUUCCCUGAGAUUCCCCUGUGUGGCCUCAGGAUUCACCUUCAAUAGCUAUGGCAUGCACUGGAUUCUCCAGGCUCCAGGGAAGGGGCUGGAGUGGGUCACAGACAUUAAUUAUCAUGGUAGUAACACAUACUAUGUGGAUUCCGUCAAGGGCCAAUUCACCAACUUCAGAAACAAUGGCAAGAACAAGCUGUACCUGCAAAUGAACAGCCUGAGAACUGAGGACACAGCCCUCUAUGACUCUGCAAGAGACACAGUGAGGAGAUAUCAAUGA